AUCUAUGGCCAUAUCACCCUGAACACGCCCGAUCUCGGCUGAUCUCGGAAGCUAAGCAGGGUCGGGCCUGGUUAGUACUUGGAUGGGAGAUAUAAGAGGGUGUGUGUGUUGGUGUGGGGG
Ribosomal RNA from Pteropus vampyrus (large flying fox), 120 nucleotides. The record is from Ensembl. Lineage: Eukaryota; Metazoa; Chordata; Mammalia; Chiroptera; Pteropodidae.